UAUAAAGCCAGCAGCUAAUGUGGCAGCUCUUCAGUUGUCGGAGAGACCUGCACUCAUCAGCUACACCACUUUAAUCAGGCUAUAGGAAGGUUUGCCGACUACUGCUUCAAAUAAUAAUGAAUAUUAAACUUGUGCUGGUGGUGUUGGUGGCGGUGUUGGGGAUGGUGCUGGCGGCGCCGCAGAUCAUCACCAAGAAGAGAGACUUCCCUGGCCAGAGGCACCUCGGGGUCAGGAACUUCCGUAGCCACACCUUCAGUGAGCGGGGAUUCAGUACCAAACGUUUGGCUAGACUGAACGGGUAGAUGAGCACCAGAGUGUGGGGCCAGACAUGCCCCUUGUUGAUGCUGCCGGAAACUGCGCAACUCUGCUGGCUCGUCGUGACCUGCACAACAAUGGUGGCAGCGUAGUGACCUCCUCGUCAGACAUGACCAGGCGCUGUUUGCAUCAGUCAAGAGAACUGCUGAGGUGUAUCCCCUCAUGUGUUUAUUGUUCCAGUUGUCGGGGACAAGAAGCCUGUACUAAGUGAGGUCAUCUCUAGGCAAGCUACUGACCCCUCUUCAAGAUGCCACCCACAACAGUUGCUUGACUCCUGGGUACUUAUUUAUCUAGCAUCAGGUGAAACGAAACGUGGCCUAUCGUUUAUGUCCUGCCCGGGGGAUUGAACUCUGGUCCUUCGAUUCUACCUUAAUGCUACUUUGAAAUAUGUUUAGUAAAUUAUAUUUAUUUUCAAAUAUUGUUUUAUAAAUUUAUAUUUUUGUAAGUCGAUUGUGUUUGUAAAUGUUUGAGCGUGUUAAUAAACAGUGACAUGACGGUGACCAAUGGCAUGUUAUUGGACAGUAACCAAUGACGUGCUGACAGUAACGAAUGACGUGCUGACAGUAACGAAUGACGUGCUGACAGUAACGAAUGACGUGUUCAGUGUGACCAGUGACGUGUUGACUGAAAAUUGAGUAUCUGCUUUAUUAAUGAUAUAUAAUUAUUAGUAACAAUAAUAAACACGACUAGUAAAUUCCAAAA
This is a long non-coding RNA of Procambarus clarkii (red swamp crayfish), 1017 nucleotides long. RefSeq lists it as uncharacterized. The record is from RefSeq and is a predicted model, not a curated record. NCBI's taxonomy places the organism in Eukaryota, Metazoa, Arthropoda, Malacostraca, Decapoda, Cambaridae.